Molecule: ribosomal RNA, 2940 nt
Filed under: Triticum aestivum (bread wheat)
Lineage: Eukaryota; Viridiplantae; Streptophyta; Magnoliopsida; Poales; Poaceae
Description: partial small subunit ribosomal RNA
Source: RNAcentral
AUGCGCCACCCACAAAUCACUAUCCAGUUACUAUCCUUGGCCAGCCGCCAGGAACGACUGCCUCCACCACCCGUUACUCCUAGUCCAUCUCCAGACACUUUCAUCCAGCUCCGGCGCAGCCACCCACCCUCUCCCGGCCACCUCUCCAGUUACACCACGCCUCACCAGUUCGACCUCUCUGCAGCAGCCGUCGCUGGGGUCGAGAUGUCCGUGAGCGUGACGAUUGGGGUGAUGAGACCCCUCCUCGGCAAGUUCGCGGACCUGGCGGGCAACGAGUACAGCAAGCUCAAGGGGGUGAAGAAGCAGGCGGCCUUCCUCGAGAAGGAGCUCAGCGCAAUGAACGCCGCACUCGAGAAGAUGGAGGUCAUGGACGAGCUUGAUCCCGUGGCUAGGGACUGGAGGGAUCAUGUCCGGGAGAUGUCAUACGACAUGGAGAACUGCAUCGAUGACUUCCUGCGCCAGUUUGGAAGUGGUAAUGCAAAGCUAGGAUUCAUCAAGAAGACGGCCCGACGUCUCAAGAUGUUGGGACAGCUCCAUCGGAUUGCCGACCGCAUGGAAGAGCUCAAGGCUCUUGCGCUAGACGCAAAUGAACGACGCCUCAGGUACAAGUUUGAAGACCGCAAACCUGAUUCUAGCUUUGUUGCUAUUGAUCCUCGCAUGACAGCAAUAUAUGUGGAAGCUGCUGGCCUUGUGGGCAUCGACGGUCCAACUGAGGAGCUUGUCAAUUUGCUGUCAGAUACUCAGGAGAAGCUCAAAGUGGUGUCCAUCGUGGGAUUCGGAGGACUGGGUAAAACUACACUGGCCAAAAAGGUGUACGAUGAGAUCAAAGGGGAGUUUGAAUGUACAUCAUUUGUUUCUGUAUCCCAAAGACCAAAUAUGACGGGGCUUCUCCAUCGUAUACAACUAAAACUUGGGAUGAAUCAGUCUUCUCGGGUCUAUGAGGUGCAAGACAUUAUUGAAGAGCUUAAGGAAUAUCUCACAGAUAAAAGGUACCUUAUUGUAUUGGAUGACUUGUGGGACCAGUCAGCAUGGAAUACUAUCAGUCGCACAUUUCCAGAAAAUGCUAAUAGGAGUAGAGUACUGGUUACCACACGUGUGGAAGGCGUGGCUUGUGGAGCAUGUUGCAAUCAGCCUGGGUGCAUUUACAGAAUGGAGCCCCUUGACGAGGUAGACUCGAAAGAGUUGUUUUUUCAUAGAGUGUAUGGGUCUGAAGAUGACCGUUCAUCCCAAUUUGAAGAAAUCUCAGCUAAGAUUCUAAAGAAGUGUGGUGGGCUCCCACUUGCAAUAAUUACUAUAGCUAGCCUAUUAGCUACUCGUCCUGAAAGGUUAAGGGAUGAGUGGGAGAGCAUCAAGAAUUCUCUUGGAACCCAGUUUGUGGUAAACCCCACUUUGGAUGGGGUAAAGAAUAUAUUAAACCUUAGCUACAUCCAUCUUCCCCUUCAUCUCCGGGCAUGUUUGCUGCACCUUGGUUUAUAUCCAGAAGAUCAUGAGAUCGAGAGGGAUGAUUUGGUUCGACAAUGGUCAGCUGAAGGACUUGUCAGUAAAUUGCAUGGGAAAGACUCUGAGAUUGUUGCGCAAAGCUAUUUUAAUGAUCUUGUCAACAGAAGCUUGAUUCAGCCUGGACGUACCUCGGAUGGCGAGUUGGUAUCAUGCAGAGUACAUGAUAUGAUGCUCGAUUUGAUCCUAAGCAAGUGUGAAGAGCAUAAUUUUCUGAUAGUUGAAUGCAAUCCUGAAGAGAUGGUAAGAGAUCAUGGCCGAAAAUAUAAGACACGUCGUAUAUCCAUGAACUUCAGUAAUGGUGGUGCAGCAGAUGAGACAACAUCAAGGACUAUUCCUUCUAGCCUAUCACAAGUUCGAUCACUUGCGCUUUUCGGGGAAUCCAAGUACAUGCCCCCUCUUUUGCAUUUUAAGUAUCUCAGGGUCCUUCUCUUCAAAAGUUUGGGCCACAAAGUAAUUGAUCUCACGGAUAUUGGCCAACUGUUCGAACUGAGGUAUUUAAAAGUUUCAUCUAAAGGAAAAGUCAAACUCCCUGCCGAAAUGCAAGGGCUUGUGCAUUUGGAGACACUAGAUUUAGAUUGCAUGUGGGCCAUAGAAAUCCCAUCGGAUAUAGUUAACUUGCCCCGCUUAUCCCACUUGGAAGUUCCAUACGGAUGCAAAGUGCCUAAAGGGAUCAGGAAAAUGAAAUCAUUGCACACUUUGAUUGGGUUUUACCUGGGCCCGAGUUCAUUGGAGGAUAUUGAGGGACUCGGUGAGCUUACCAAUCUGAGACGCCUGGGGCUCUCAGUGUAUUUUCUAGACGGACUUGAGAUAGCAGCAUGGGUUGCUUUGGCGCAUUCUAUUGAGAUGUUGCAUGAUCUCAGAUAUCUCAGCAUCAUUUGCCAUGCCGCUUAUACGAGUGACCUACUAGACUCAUUAUCAAAUCCUUCUCGUCAUAUGAAGGUACUUAAGCUGUGUCCACUUAGGAUGCCUAGAGUUCCCAAGUGGAUUUGUGGUCUCCAAUGCCUCUGCCGGCUAGAGCUGAAUGUCGACACGUGUACUGACGAGUUGCACGCUCUUGGAGAGCUGCCCUCUCUCGUCCACCUCAAAUUACGGAUGUGGAGUAUCCCUGAAGACAGCUGUGUCACUUUCUCCGCGGGAUCAUUUCCGGUUCUGGAGGUCUAUGAAUUUGAAUCAGAGUAUGAUGUUACUGCGUACCUGGUCUUUGCGGCAGGGGCUAUGCCCAAACUAAGUUUGCUUGUACUACAGUUCGACAAGCGUAACUGGGGCGGCGCUACACCAGUUGGCUUGGAGCACCUGUUGAGCCUCGAGUAUAUCAUUGUACGUACCAUCUGCGGCCUUGAAGAAGUGAUGGAUAAAGCAGAGAUAGAGUCUGCCUUCAGGAACUGUACGGAGGUGCAUCCAAACCGUCCUCUGUUUCACAUCUCAAAUAGAGCACGAUAA